Molecule: long non-coding RNA, 815 nt
Filed under: Homo sapiens (human)
Lineage: Eukaryota; Metazoa; Chordata; Mammalia; Primates; Hominidae
Description: HSALNT0052493
Source: RNAcentral
CAGGCUGGGUCACGUACCUAAACUUGUGACCAGGGGUCUCUAGUUUUAGAAAUGGAAACCCCUUUCACAACCACGAUGUUGGAGAGGGAAGCAGCUACCUCAAAAGAAGGGAAUGAACGGUUGAGACCAGACAAUAUAAUAAGUGGCCACUCUCUGGUAGAGAAAGACUUUGGAGGAAACCCAUCAGGCAUCCAGAACCCACAGCUCUGCCAUCAGAACUCCAUCCUGGGAACAGAAGCCGUCUAUCUGCAUCUGUAAAUCCACGGGAACCUUCUCAGUGCAGUGGUAAUACAGAGUAUAAAGUAGCCCUCCUUACUCUUAAGAGGAAAUUUUGCCUCUUCACCUUUCCAAAAGAAAUGACGAGAAAUCAUUACUUCCUGUGUUAAGCAAAUGCCUCGAAAUCAUCUCAGAGUUCCCCCGUGAGUGAUCCUAGUUUUGAAGAGACUAUUCUCAACCCACCUGUCAAUUAUGUCAGUGUAAAGGCAUCCAGAACAUCUGUCCUGAAUUUUCCCGGACUGCACCUGGACUUCAAAAUGAUGGAAGGUGGUGAUCUAACUGUGCAGAAAACAUUGUGAAACAGGCCACAUUCUCAAACUGGUUUGAGAAACUUUUAGAAUAAAAUGUGUCUGGCUAGGUUUAUUCAGCCUUAGUUAUUACUCUUUGUGUAUACACAAGGAUUUCAAACCAUCAAUAAAUGACUGCAAGUGGUUUCUAGUCAUAUCCAACCAACAAAAAGUCUUCCCUUAUGUGUCAAAAGCAAGCAAACCUCAAAUUGGUAAGUUUUCUUUUCCUGGAGAGAUUCUGUGGAAUAUGAU